RNAcentral lists this long non-coding RNA (1192 nucleotides) under Chrysemys picta bellii (western painted turtle). Its description in RNAcentral is "lncRNA (ENSCPBG00000015182.1)". The record is from RNAcentral. Lineage: Eukaryota; Metazoa; Chordata; Testudines; Emydidae.
UGACAUAAACAGCAUUGAGUUCAAGCAGCUAUAGUACAGAACAGUACAAAUCACCAUCCAUCCUAAAGAGGCCACAAACAUCACCAGCCCAAUUUUUGUUUUCCUUUGCCGGUCAUUGUAAAGCAACAGUAUUGAGGAGAGAAUUACUCAUCCUCUUAGAUACCAGCUCCUUGGGCCAAAACUAUAAUGAUAGUUCAUGUAGUUUAAAAGAAUAAACCAGUCUGCCCACAGCAAAUACCUCCCCAAGUGCAGACUUUUAUUAACAUAGAGCUAUCUUCCACCUAUCCAGGAAAGUUCUCGCGAUGAUAAACGCCCAUCAGACCUUCAUCGGGAGCUGCGCUCCUCUGGCAGAGAAGGUCAUUGAGAUGCUUGCCCUGAAGAAUUUUUGUCGGGAGCCUGUUCCUCACAUUCAUGUGCCGCUGCAGCUUCUCUUGAACAACGUCUACCAGCGGAUCACCAGUCGCCUAGCAGAGGGUCACGGAAUAAAUUCGUUUCAGGAAAGUGAUGUCAAUGUAGUUUUGAAGGACAUUGCCAGAAGGACAAAGGCUUGGCUUGGUACCAGACAUCAGACAGGAAAUGCAGAGGAUGUUUUGCAGCCAAAGAAGUUGGAGGAUGUUCUGCAGUGCCUUAAUCUAAUACUAGCUUUGGUCACAAUUUUCUUGAAACACCCACAGAAAAUACCAUUCAGCCCCGUGAUGACAUCACUGCAGAUUUGGGAAUUGUUCUCUGAAACAGAAGAUUUACUGCAAACCAAAAGGGAUUUUCGGGUCCUUAAGCAGACCCAGGGGCUCAAGGAAUUUAUGAAUGUAGCAGAAUCAUGGAUCCAGGAGUUAUUCCCCAAAUCGUCUGAACAGGAAAAAGUCUUUUUUCAUUAUAUUGACGUGAGUCCAAAAAAUCCCAGUGAGACUGAUUUUUUCAUUGCUAUUAAAAAUAGUCAACUGAUAGGCUUGUUCUGUUCCUAGAUGUGGGAUCAGCUCAUUUCCGCUGGACUGUUCUGUGAUGAGUGGACCCGGGACUGGCGAAAACAUAUUAAAUCUUUGUUUGCAGAGUGGCUAAAAAGGGUGAGUUGACUAAUUGACAAUCAGAAAGAUGGUCUUUCCCUCACAGAACUUAAACGGAGAUACAGACAGAUGGGGAAGACAGCAGUGGGAUGAUUAUUAUUGGAAGAAUAAACAACAGUAGCUGCGUACCA